Molecule: ribosomal RNA, 506 nt
Filed under: uncultured bacterium
Lineage: Bacteria
Description: partial 16S ribosomal RNA
Rfam family: Bacterial small subunit ribosomal RNA
Source: RNAcentral
AUUGAACGCUGGCGGCAGGCCUAACACAUGCAAGUCGAACGGCAGCACAGAAGAGCUUGCUCUUCGGGUGGCGAGUGGCGGGCGGGUGAGUAAUGUCUGGGAAACUGCCCGAUGGAGGGGGAUAACUACUGGAAACGGUAGCUAAUACCGCAUAACGUCGCAAGACCAAAGUGGGGGACCUUCGGGCCUCACACCAUCGGAUGUGCCCAGAUGGGAUUAGCUAGUAGGUGGGGUAAUGGCUCACCUAGGCGCCGAUCCCUAGCUGGUCUGAGAGGAUGACCAGCCACACUGGAACGGAGACACGGUCCAGACUCCGACGGGAGGCAGCAGUGGGGAAUAUUGCACAAUGGGCGCAAGCCUGAUGCAGCCAUGCCGCGUGUAUGAAGAAGGCCUUCGGGUUGUAAAGUACUUUCAGCGGGGAGGAAGGCGGUGAGGUUAAUAACCUUGCCGAUUGACGUUACCCGCAGAAGAAGCACCGGCUAACUCCGUGCCAGCCGCCGCCGUAA